RNAcentral lists this ribosomal RNA (433 nucleotides) under uncultured bacterium. RNAcentral describes it as "partial 16S ribosomal RNA". It matches the Rfam family "Bacterial small subunit ribosomal RNA", at positions 29 to 507 of the family's 1533-position model. The record is from RNAcentral.
AACGAACGCUGGCGGCAUGCCUAACACAUGCGAGUCGAACGAGACCUUCGGGUCUAGUGGCGCACGGGUGCGUAACGCGUGGGAACCUGCCCUUAGGUUCGGAAUAACUCCCCGAAAGGGGUGCUAAUACCGGAUAAUGUCUUCGGACCAACGAUUUAUCGCCUUUGGAUGGGCCCGCGUUGGAUUAGCUAGUUGGUAGGGUAAAAGCCUACCAAGGCGACGAUCCCUAGCUGGUCUGAGAGGAUGAUCAGCCACACUGGGACUGAGACACGGCCCAGACUGCUACGGGAGGCAGCAGUGGGGAAUAUUGGACAGUGGGCGAAAGCCUGAUCCAGCAAUGCCGCGUGAGUGAUGAAGGCCUUAGGGUUGUAAAGCUCUUUUGACCGGGAUGAUAAUGACAGUACCGGGAGAAUAAGCUCCGGCUAACUCCGUG